GACGAACGCUGGCGGCGUGCUUAACACAUGCAAGUCGUACGGUAAGGCCCUUUCGGGGGUACACGAGUGGCGAACGGGUGAGUAACACGUGAGUAACCUGCCCACAACUUUGGGAUAACGCUAGGAAACUGGUGCUAAUACUGGAUAUGUGCUCCUGCUGCAUGGUGGGGGUUGGAAAGCUCCGGCGGUUGUGGAUGGACUCGCGGCCUAUCAGCUUGUUGGUGGGGUAGUGGCCUACCAAGGCGGCGACGGGGAGCCGGCCUGAGAGGGUGACCGGCCACAGUGGGACUGAGAUACGGCCCAGACUCCUACGGGAGGCAGCAGUGGGGAAUAUUGCACAAUGGGCGCAAGCCUGAUGCAGCAACGCCGCGUGCGGGAUGACGGCCUUCGGGUUGUAAACCGCUUUCAGCAGGGACGAAGCUUUUUGUGACGGUACCUGCAGAAGAAGCACCGGCUAACUACGUG
This 465-nucleotide ribosomal RNA is filed under the name uncultured bacterium. RNAcentral's name for it is "partial 16S ribosomal RNA". It matches the Rfam family "Bacterial small subunit ribosomal RNA", at positions 28 to 507 of the family's 1533-position model. The record is from RNAcentral.